CUUUUUGCGGUCUGGGCUUGCUGUUCUCUGCUCACCCGGAAGCCCUUACCCCAAAAAGCAU
RNAcentral lists this microRNA precursor (61 nucleotides) under Tetraodon nigroviridis (spotted green pufferfish). RNAcentral describes it as "Tni-Mir-129-P1a_pre stem-loop". It matches the Rfam family "mir-129 microRNA precursor family", at positions 7 to 72 of the family's 75-position model. From Rfam's summary of the family: The mature sequence is excised from the 5' arm of the hairpin. The record is from RNAcentral. Lineage: Eukaryota; Metazoa; Chordata; Actinopteri; Tetraodontiformes; Tetraodontidae.